RNAcentral lists this non-coding RNA (96 nucleotides) under Ferrimicrobium acidiphilum. Its description in RNAcentral is "TPP sequence". It matches the Rfam family "TPP riboswitch aptamer (THI element)". Rfam says of the family: Vitamin B(1) in its active form thiamin pyrophosphate (TPP) is an essential coenzyme that is synthesised by coupling of pyrimidine and thiazole moieties in bacteria. The previously detected thiamin-regulatory element, thi box was extended, resulting in a new, highly conserved RNA secondary structure, the THI element, which is widely distributed in eubacteria and also occurs in some archaea. Analysis of operon structures identified a large number of new candidate thiamin-regulated genes, mostly transporters, in various prokaryotic organisms. The record is from RNAcentral. RNAcentral also lists the same sequence under 1 other name. Lineage: Bacteria; Bacillati; Actinomycetota; Acidimicrobiia; Acidimicrobiales; Acidimicrobiaceae.
ACCAGUGACGCAGGGUGCUCGACGACGUCGAGCUGAGAAAGACCUGUUGAACCUGAUCUAGUUAGUACUAGCGGAGGGACGUCAACCAUGACCGAC